This 120-nucleotide ribosomal RNA is filed under the name Scophthalmus maximus (turbot). Lineage: Eukaryota; Metazoa; Chordata; Actinopteri; Pleuronectiformes; Scophthalmidae. The record is from RNAcentral.
GCUUACGGCCACACCGUUGGUUCAGGCCCGAUCUCGCUUUGAUCUCGGAAGCUAAGAUAGGUUGGGCCUGGUUUAGUACUUGGAUGGGAGACCGCCUGGGAAUACCAGGUGCUGUAAGCU